CUGUUCGAGCGUCAUUAUAACCACUCAAGCCUGGCUUGGUAUUGGAGUUCGCUAUCUGCGGCUCCUAAAAUCAGUGGCGGUGCCUGUAGGCUCUACGCGUAGUAAUACUUCUCGCUAUAGGGUCCUGCGGGUUACUUGCCAACAACCCCCAAUUUUUUAAGGUUGACCUCGGAUCAGGUAGGGAUACCCGCUGAACUUAA
RNAcentral lists this unclassified non-coding RNA (200 nucleotides) under soil metagenome. RNAcentral's name for it is "partial contains internal transcribed spacer 2 and large subunit ribosomal RNA". The record is from RNAcentral.